This 63-nucleotide non-coding RNA is filed under the name Betaproteobacteria bacterium. RNAcentral's name for it is "Fluoride sequence". It matches the Rfam family "Fluoride riboswitch aptamer (crcB RNA motif)". Lineage: Bacteria; Pseudomonadati; Pseudomonadota; Betaproteobacteria. The record is from RNAcentral.
CUGCCCGCAGGAGAUGGCAGUCCUCCUCCAACCGCCCGCGAGGCUGAUGAUGCCUGCAAUGAC